Molecule: ribosomal RNA, 438 nt
Filed under: uncultured bacterium
Lineage: Bacteria
Description: partial 16S ribosomal RNA
Rfam family: Bacterial small subunit ribosomal RNA
Source: RNAcentral
CUACGGGGUGCACCAGUGAGGAAUAUUGCACAAUGGGGGGAACCCUGAUGCAGCAACGCCGCGUGGAGGAUGACGCAUUUCGGUGUGUAAACUCCUUUUAUAUGUCAAGAAAAUGACGGUAGCAUAUGAAUAAGCACCGGCUAACUCCGUGCCAGCAGCCGCGGUAAUACGGAGGGUGCAAGCGUUACUCGGAAUCACUGGGCGUAAAGGACGCGUAGGCGGGUUGGAAAGUCAGGUGUGAAAUCCUACAGCUAAACUGUAGAACUACACUUGAAACUUCUAAUCUAGAGUAUGGGAGGGGGAGAUGGAAUUAGUGGUGUAGGGGUAAAAUCCGUAGAUAUCACUAGGAAUACCUAAAGCGAAGGCGAUCUCCUGGAACAUUACUGACGCUAAGGCGUGAAAGCGUGGGAGCAAACAGGAUUAGAUACCCGGGUAGUC